Molecule: ribosomal RNA, 459 nt
Filed under: uncultured bacterium
Lineage: Bacteria
Description: bacterial SSU rRNA
Rfam family: Bacterial small subunit ribosomal RNA
Source: RNAcentral
GAGUUUGAUCCUGGCUCAGGAUGAACGCUGGCGGCGUGCCUAACACAUGCAAGUCGAGCGGAGCGGUCUUGAUGAAGUUUUCGGAUGGAAUCAGGAUUGUCUUAGCGGCGGACGGGUGAGUAACACGUGGAUAACCUGCCUUAUACUGGGGGAUAACAGCCAGAAAUGGCUGCUAAUACCGCAUAAGCGCACGGCGCCGCAUGGCGCAGUGUGAAAAACUCCGGUGGUAUAAGAUGGAUCCGCGCCUGAUUAGCUAGUUGGCGGGGCAGCGGCCCACCAAGGCGACGAUCAGUAGCCGGCCUGAGAGGGCGACCGGCCACAUUGGGACUGAGACACGGCCCAAACUCCUACGGGAGGCAGCAGUGGGGAAUAUAGCACAAUGGGGGGAACCCUGAUGCAGCGACGCCGCGUGAAAGGAGAAGUAUUUCGGUAUGUAAAGCUCUAUCAGCAGGGAAGAAG